Molecule: unclassified non-coding RNA, 391 nt
Filed under: uncultured Phycisphaeraceae bacterium
Lineage: Bacteria; Pseudomonadati; Planctomycetota; Phycisphaerae; Phycisphaerales; Phycisphaeraceae
Description: contains 16S-23S intergenic spacer region
Source: RNAcentral
UCCGGUUUGACACCGGCAGUCCCGUUAGAGUGCCCGGCACCCGAAGGCCCGAUGGCAACUAACGGCAGGGGUUUCGCUCGUUAAGGGACUUAACCCGACACUUCACAGCACGAGCUGACGACAGCCAUGCAGCACCUGUGCACGUUCCACCCGUGAGGGCGUCACUCCGCUUUCACAGAGCUAAUCCGUGCAUGUCAAACCCAGGAUAAGGUUCUUCGCGUUGCUUCGAAUUAAGCCACAUGCUCCACCGCUUGUGUGAGCCCCCGUCAAUUCCUUUGAGUUUUAGCCUUGCGACCGUACUCCCCAGGCGGCGCACUUAUCAGUUUUCCUUCGGCCCCGAUGGUGUCAGAACCUCCGAGACCUAGUGCGCAUCGUUUACAGCGUGGACUAC